GACGAACCGUGCGAACGUUGUUCGGAAUCACUGGGCUUAAAGGGCGCGUAGGCGGACUGCCAAGUCCGGGGUGAAAUCUUUCGGCUUAACCGGAAAAUAGCCUCGGAGACUGGCGGUCUGGAGGGGGGUAGGGGCAGCUGGAACUUCCGGUGGAGCGGUGAAAUGCGUAGAUAUCGGAAGGAACGCCGGUGGCGAAAGCGGCAUGCUGGGUCCCUUCUGACGCUGAGGCGCGAAAGCCAGGGGAGCAAACGGG
RNAcentral lists this ribosomal RNA (253 nucleotides) under uncultured bacterium. RNAcentral describes it as "partial 16S ribosomal RNA". It matches the Rfam family "Bacterial small subunit ribosomal RNA", at positions 524 to 776 of the family's 1533-position model. The record is from RNAcentral.